This 497-nucleotide ribosomal RNA is filed under the name uncultured bacterium. Its description in RNAcentral is "partial 16S ribosomal RNA". It matches the Rfam family "Bacterial small subunit ribosomal RNA", at positions 28 to 507 of the family's 1533-position model. The record is from RNAcentral.
GAUGAACGCUGGCGGCGUGCCUAAUACAUGCAAGUCGAGCGAACGGACGAGAAGCUUGCUUCUCUGAUGUUAGCGGCGGUCGGGUGAGUAACACGUGGAUAACCUACCUAUAAGACUGGGAUAACUUCGGGAAACCGGAGCUAAUACCGGAUAAUAUUUUGAACCGCAUGGUUCAAAAGUGAAAGACGGUCUUGCUGUCACUUAUAGAUGGAUCCGCGCUGCAUUAGCUAGUUGGUAAGGUAACGGCUUACCAAGGCAACGAUGCAUAGCCGACCUGAGAGGGUGAUCGGCCACACUGGAACUGAGACACGGUCCAGACUCCUACGGGAGGCAGCAGUAGGGAAUCUUCCGCAAUGGGCGAAAGCCUGACGGAGCAACGCCGCGUGAGUGAUGAAGGUCUUCGGAUCGUAAAACUCUGUUAUUAGGGAAGAACAUAUGUGUAAGUAACUGUGCACAUCUUGACGGUACCUAAUCAGAAAGCCACGGCUAACUACGUG